GAUGAAGAAUCUACUAUCAAUAAAUGAAUACAUAGUUUAUUGAGGCGAACCGGGAGAACUGAAACAUCUAAGUACCCCGAGGAAAAGAAAUCAACCGAGAUUCUGUGAGUAGCGGCGAGCGAAAGCGGAAGAGCCAGUAAGUUUUAGCUAGCGUAUUAGAGGAAUUGGCUGGGAAGCCAAAUCAAAGAGGGUGAUAAUCCCGUACUCGAAAGUAUGGUAGUGGAACUAAGCUUACGAUAAGUAAGGCGGGACACGAGAAAUCCUGUUUGAAGAUGGGGGGACCAUCCUCCAAGGCUAAAUACUCCUGAUUGACCGAUAGUGAACCAGUACUGUGAAGGAAAGGCGAAAAGAACCCCGGUGAGGGGAGUGAAAUAGAACCUGAAACCCUGUACGUACAAGCAGUAGGAGCGAGGGCAACCUUGUGACUGCGUACCUUUUGUAUAAUGGGUCAGCGACUUAUAUUUUGUAGCGAGGUUAACUGAAUAAGGGAGCCGAAGGGAAACCGAGUCUUAACUGGGCGUUGAGUUGCAAGGUAUAGACCCGAAACCCGGUGAUCUAGCCAUGGGCAGGUUGAAGGUUGGGUAACACUAACUGGAGGACCGAACCGACUAAUGUUGAAAAAUUAGCGGAUGACUUGUGGCUGGGGGUGAAAGGCCAAUCAAACCGGGAGAUAGCUGGUUCUCCCCGAAAUCUAUUUAGGUAGAGCCUUGAGCGGACACCUUCGGGGGUAGAGCACUGUUUCGGCUAGGGGUCCAUCCCGGAUUACCAACCCGAUGCAAACUGCGAAUACCGAAGAGUGAUACUCAGGAGACACACGGCGGGUGCUAACGUUCGUCGUGGAGAGGGAAACAACCCAGACCGCCAGCUAAGGUCCCGAAGUCUAUAUUAAGUGGGAAACGAAGUGGGAAGGCUUAGACAGCUAGGAUGUUGGCUUAGAAGCAGCCAUCAUUUAAAGAAAGCGUAAUAGCUCACUAGUCGAGUCGGCCUGCGCGGAAGAUGUAACGGGGCUCAAAUAUAGCACCGAAGCUGCGGCAUCAGAAUUUAUUCUGUUGGGUAGGGGAGCGUUGUGUAAGCGGAUGAAGGUGGCUCGAGAGGGUUGCUGGACGUAUCACAAGUGCGAAUGCUGACAUAAGUAACGAUAAAACGAGUGAAAAACUCGUUCGCCGGAAGACCAAGGGUUCCUGUCCAACGUUAAUCGGGGCAGGGUGAGUCGGCCCCUAAGGCGAGGCUGAAAAGCGUAGUCGAUGGGAAACGGGUUAAUAUUCCCGUACUUGGAUAAACUGCGAUGUGGGGACGGAGAAGGUUAGGUUAGCAGACUGUUGGAUGUCUGUUUAAGGUGGUAGGUGGAAGACUUAGGCAAAUCCGGGUCUUUAUAAAACACUGAGAGCUGAUGACGAGGUCUUAAGGGACUGAAGUAACUGAUACCCUGCUUCCAGGAAAAGCCACUAAGCUUCAGGUUUAUCUAAACCGUACUGAAAACCGACACAGGUGGUCAGGUAGAGAAUACUCAGGCGCUUGAGAGAACUCGGGUGAAGGAACUAGGCAAAAUAGCACCGUAACUUCGGGAGAAGGUGCGCUUACAGUAAUUGUAGUCCCUUGCGGAUGAAGGUGAAGUAAGUCGAAGAUACCAGCUGGCUGCAACUGUUUAUUAAAAACACAGCACUCUGCAAACACGAAAGUGGACGUAUAGGGUGUGAUGCCUGCCCGGUGCUGGAAGGUUAAUUGAUGGUGUUAUCGAAAGAGAAGCUCCUGAUCGAAGCCCCAGUAAACGGCGGCCGUAACUAUAACGGUCCUAAGGUAGCGAAAUUCCUUGUCGGGUAAGUUCCGACCUGCACGAAUGGCAUAAUGAUGGCCAGGCUGUCUCCACCCG
This 1870-nucleotide ribosomal RNA is filed under the name Pasteurella multocida. RNAcentral's name for it is "partial 23S ribosomal RNA". It matches the Rfam family "Bacterial large subunit ribosomal RNA", at positions 134 to 2028 of the family's 2925-position model. Lineage: Bacteria; Pseudomonadati; Pseudomonadota; Gammaproteobacteria; Pasteurellales; Pasteurellaceae. The record is from RNAcentral.